UCAUACCCUGGGUCUUAUACUUCCGUCCCCGUACGUAGCCCAGAGAUGCAUAGCAGGUGCUCUGCAGACGUCUGCUGCCCGAGGAUACAGAUGCAGAUCCCAGCAACUGCACGAGGUGUGGACCCGUGUCGACAUCUGGCUCGUUUGUUUUGGUGACCAUGGUCGAAUGAAGUCCUGAAGCAGAUGACCCUCCUUCCGAAGUCUCAUCAGGAGGUCAGUGGUAGCAUCAUGCUACGUCACAGGGCCUCCAUCACUCACCCGACUCACUUCAUCUCAUUACGCAGGCAUUUUCUCAUCUCCCAUCAUCAUAAGAAGAAGGGUGUUUGUGGUUGUUGGAGCGACUUCUACCUGCGCUAAACCACCCCACCCUGAGGUUUUGAAGUGAAGUAUUUUGAUUGGCUCCGGAUGUGAUCAUGUGAUUGAGCAUUGGCCAAUGAGAUCAUCGCAUUCCUGCCAAGUUACCGGCUCAGCUGCCUGAUGCAUUCCCAACUCAGCUUCCUUUAGCUAGACCCAACAAUCAUCCACAGAAAU
This is a long non-coding RNA of Prionailurus viverrinus (fishing cat), 531 nucleotides long. RefSeq lists it as uncharacterized. Lineage: Eukaryota; Metazoa; Chordata; Mammalia; Carnivora; Felidae. The record is from RefSeq and is a predicted model, not a curated record. The transcript has 4 exons.